Molecule: transfer RNA, 72 nt
Filed under: Muraenolepis orangiensis (Patagonian moray cod)
Lineage: Eukaryota; Metazoa; Chordata; Actinopteri; Gadiformes; Muraenolepididae
Rfam family: tRNA
About the family: Transfer RNA (tRNA) molecules are approximately 80 nucleotides in length.
Source: Rfam by way of RNAcentral
CAGAAUAUAGCUAAGAUAGUAAAGCAUUUCCCUUACACCGAAAAGUCGUCUGUGCAAAUCGGACUGUUCUGA